CCUACGGGUGGCAGCAGUGAGGAAUAUUGGUCAAUGGGCGGAAGCCUGAACCAGCCAAGUCGCGUGAGGGAAUAAGGCCCUACGGGUCGUAAACCUCUUUUGCCGGGGAGCAAGGGCGGGGACGUGUCCCGGCCCGGAUAGUACCCGGAGAAAACGCAUCGGCUAACUCCUUGCCAGCAGCCGCGGUAAUCCGGAGGAUGCGAGCGUUCUCCGGAUUUAUUGGGUUUAAAGGGUGCGUAGGCGGGCUUUUAGGUCAGCGUUAAAAAUUCGGGGCUCAACCCCGUCCGGCCGUUGAAACUGGGGGCCGUGAGGGGGGGAGAAGAAGGCGGAAUGCGUGGUGUAGCGGUGAAAUGCAUAGAUAUCAAGCAGAACCCCGAUUGCGAGGCAGCCUGCCGGAGCCCGACCGACGCUGAGGCACGAAAGUGCGGGGAUCGAACAGGAUUAGAUACCCCGGUAGUC
Molecule: ribosomal RNA, 459 nt
Filed under: uncultured bacterium
Lineage: Bacteria
Description: partial 16S ribosomal RNA
Rfam family: Bacterial small subunit ribosomal RNA
Source: RNAcentral